RNAcentral lists this long non-coding RNA (904 nucleotides) under Eptatretus burgeri (inshore hagfish). RNAcentral describes it as "lncRNA (ENSEBUG00000017411.1)". The record is from RNAcentral. Lineage: Eukaryota; Metazoa; Chordata; Myxini; Myxiniformes; Myxinidae.
CACCUGGAGACUUCUUAACAGAGACAAUAAUUGUCUUUCAUUUUACAGUUGCCGAUUUUUACCAGUGUUGUGAACAGCCUCCGGGUUGUUGUCGAGCGCAAGCUCGCUCUGCCUGCUAAAAUGGCGGCCGAGGGCGUCCAUUGGAUACUUCACUGGUUCGCACGAGUGGGCUAUCUUGCUCCGCUUUACGACCUCUGGUCGGAACUGCUGUUGAGCUCAAUUCUGCCGUUUAAAUUUUGAAAAUCGGUUCAGGUUAAGAGUUCGUACAGCGUUUUAUUAACCGUGUGCGGAAAUUAAAUAAGUCAUGCACGGAAACGUCGGGAUUCGCCCGGAGACACUCGGAGUUUUCGUGUGUGGCGUAUCUAGAGCCUAUUGGCUCUGAAAACGAAGAAGAAGAACAGAAUAAUAAGAACACCUGGUCUCUCAUCAAAAGAAGGAUUAUUCACAAUAGCUCGAGUCCAAUAACGGAGCACCCACCUCAAAUAAGCUUGCGUGCCAAGUUUCCCUCGUAAGUCGUGAUCAAGAGGAAGACACUGCCCAAAGACAAGCUUCCAGCCGGCGUCAUUGUCCGUGCGCAGCAGGAGGAGUGGAUACGAUAGACGAGGAACAUGUGGUGUACCCCGGUGAUUCGUGGAUCGACGACCCGAAGGAAUGGCCGAACGUGCAAUACCCGGACGGAUACGCGUAUCUCGUCAAGACACCAGCACAAGUCUGUGGGGGAGCAUCAUUGGCUGAAGGCGUGGCUGUGCUGCUGAUGCAAUGUCCUCCGCUGGUUGGGGCAGGAAUUUGUAAUUUGUGCAUGGUGCCGGCGAUAGCUCACCUACUCUUCGCAAAGGACACCAUGGGAUCUUCAACAUCCACAAUCAAUUGCUGGCAGACGGGACGCUUUGAGGGCCAAGUUUGA